ACUGAGCUACGGCCACUCCCUGUCGAUCCUUAUCAAACAAGUGUCUUAUCAUGAGCCUACAGGGCAAAACACACCAAGGAGGGACAUUAUAAUAUUUCAGAACAUUGCACAAAGGCUGAUUGAAACAGCAUUGACAGGGUGGAUCCUCCAAGCCACAAGCUGCCCAUAUGCAGCACUUUGACAUGUGGCUAGCACUCUGCUCUGCAGUUGGGCUCCAUUUUGUCCCGCAGCAGUCCUGGCAUGUGGCUUGUGGCUGCAGAGAAAAAUCCACUGGUGGUGGUGACCAGUUCAUGGCAACCGGUUGCCUUUUAAUUGCUCAGCAUAUGAGACCAGUACCCUCAUGAAUAAAUACAAAAAACCCCAAUGAAAAGCCACCAUCUUCACCAAGAACUCCUAAUGCCUCCUUAGAGAUGCCACUUCACACUUUGGAAAGCCAAGACCUCUCUAUACAUUCCAACCUCUUUCUGGAGAGUCCUCUACCCAAGAAGAAUGUCACAUUUCUCAAGGAGAAGGACACAAAACUGCACAGUGCAACAAGACUUCUGCUAUUUCUCCACACACGACACAACAGCAACUCUUCCUCCAUAUCCCGUAUUCUGCCCUAGUUGUUUAUGUUGCCCCUCUUGGAAUUAUUUAUACCCAAGAUUCCCACUAGUCUUGCCUACUGGCUUCACCAUCCAACUGUUGUUUUUCUCCCUUGUGUUGCUGGACUUGGAUCAAAGACAACUUGGACUGUUGGUUGCUAUGGAAGUUAUUAUGUCCUUGGUAUCUCACUUUCGCAUCACAAGGGCCAUAAAAAGCAGAAGAAUCUGGUUCAAGGAGAAGAUUAUAGAUCAUCUGCACAUUGACUGAAUUACAGCAGAAAAAAAGGAAUUGUGAUGAGACCACAUAAGCAUUCCUUUUAUGUUUCAAUCAAUUCACGGCAGUUUGGGGUUGGUGUCAUAUGUGCUUGCAUACAACAGGAAUCUGUAAGGAAACAAAGAAUACAGACCAAAAACUGCCACAAUAAUAUGUGGAUUCCAAAAUUUGUUUUAGAAAUGAUCCAGGGUAAAUCAGAAGGCAGGCAGAGCAAAACAUGGUGCAAAGUCAACCACAUGUAACAAUAAUGAAAUGGAAUGGGGGACAUCCACUCAUCCUGGCUUUACAAGGCUUAAAGAAUCCAGGGGUCACCUGUUCUCCUCUCACUGCUUCUCCAGCCCGCUUUGUACUUGCAGGUGUGCUGGAUGUUCAAAACAGAAAUGCACAGAUUGACUGAGUCAGAUACUCUAAAGUAAAGCACAACAAAAGUUCCACAACCCACCC
Hemicordylus capensis (graceful crag lizard) is the source of this 1302-nucleotide long non-coding RNA. RefSeq lists it as uncharacterized. NCBI's taxonomy places the organism in Eukaryota, Metazoa, Chordata, Lepidosauria, Squamata, Cordylidae. The record is from RefSeq and is a predicted model, not a curated record. The transcript has 4 exons.